This 45-nucleotide non-coding RNA is filed under the name Schistosoma mattheei. The record is from RNAcentral. Lineage: Eukaryota; Metazoa; Platyhelminthes; Trematoda; Strigeidida; Schistosomatidae.
AUCCAGGUGACGAGUCCCAAAUAGGACGUAAUGCGUGUCCUGGAU